RNAcentral lists this ribosomal RNA (253 nucleotides) under uncultured bacterium. RNAcentral describes it as "partial 16S ribosomal RNA". It matches the Rfam family "Bacterial small subunit ribosomal RNA", at positions 524 to 776 of the family's 1533-position model. The record is from RNAcentral.
UACGUAGGGUGCGAGCGUUAAUCGGAAUUACUGGGCGUAAAGCGUGCGCAGGCGGUUAUGUAAGACAGAUGUGAAAUCCCCGGGCUCAACCUGGGAACUGCAUUUGUGACUGCAUGGCUAGAGUACGGUAGAGGGGGAUGGAAUUCCGCGUGUAGCAGUGAAAUGCGUAGAUAUGCGGAGGAACACCGAUGGCGAAGGCAGUCCUCUGGGCCUGCACUGACGCUCAUGCACGAAAGCGUGGGGAGCAAACAGG